GACGUAGGUGGCGAACGUUAUCCGGAAUUAUUGGGCGUAAAGAGCUCGUAGGCGGCCAGUUGCGUCUGCUGUGAAAUCCCGGGGCUCAACCCCGGGCGUGCAGUGGAUACGGGCUGGCUAGAGGCAGGCAGGGGAGAACGGAAUUCCCGGUGUAGCGGUGAAAUGCGCAGAUAUCGGGAGGAACACCGGUGGCGAAGGCGGUUCUCUGGGCCUGUACUGACGCUGAGGAGCGAAAGCGUGGGGAGCGAACAGG
This 253-nucleotide ribosomal RNA is filed under the name uncultured bacterium. Its description in RNAcentral is "partial 16S ribosomal RNA". It matches the Rfam family "Bacterial small subunit ribosomal RNA", at positions 524 to 776 of the family's 1533-position model. The record is from RNAcentral.